This 516-nucleotide ribosomal RNA is filed under the name uncultured archaeon HA19. RNAcentral's name for it is "bacterial SSU rRNA". It matches the Rfam family "Archaeal small subunit ribosomal RNA", at positions 363 to 879 of the family's 1478-position model. The record is from RNAcentral.
AACAGCGAUAAGGGGACCUCGAGUGCCAGGUUACAAAUCUGGCUGUCGUAAUGCCUAAAAAGCAUUGCGUAGCAAGGGCCGGGCAAGACCGGUGCCAGCCGCCGCGGUAACACCGGCGGCUCGAGUGGUAACCGUUAUUAUUGGGUCUAAAGGGUCUGUAGCCGGCCGGAUAAGUCUCUUGGGAAAUCUGGCAGCUUAACUGUCGGGCUUUCAGGAGAUACUGUCUGGCUCGAGGCCGGGAGAGGUGAGAGGUACUUCAGGGGUAGGGGUGAAAUCUUGUAAUCCUUGAAGGACCACCAGUGGCGAUGGCGUCUCACCAGAACGGACCUGACGGCAAGGGACGAAAGCUAGGGGCACGAACCGGAUUAGAUACCCGGGUAGUCCUAGCCGUAAACGAUACUCGCUAGGUGUCGGCCACGGUGCGACCGUUGUCGGUGCCGUAGGGAAGCCGUGAAGCGAGCCACCUGGGAAGUACGGCCGCAAGGCUGAAACUUAAAGGAAUUGGCGGGGGAGCAC